Acanthochromis polyacanthus (spiny chromis) is the source of this 573-nucleotide long non-coding RNA. RefSeq lists it as uncharacterized. The record is from RefSeq and is a predicted model, not a curated record. The transcript has 4 exons. Lineage: Eukaryota; Metazoa; Chordata; Actinopteri; Pomacentridae.
CAAAGACCCGAAGUGUCGCUGGUGGUGCUGUCUGCCUCGUGGACAGAUUGUCUGUCUGCGUUUGAUGGGAUUCAGGCCUGCAACAAAUUUUAAAGAAAGGAAGAGCUAGUUUUCUUCUUGCAAGACACGCGCACAGGCGUAUUUGCUGGCACGGCACAGGUACCACACUGUGGACUGCAGGAAAGUAGAGCUGAAAUGGGAAAAAUGCAAGUUUCGGGUGUUCUUGCAGUAACAUCAGCCCUGCUCUGCAUCCAUGCAAAGGUUUGCUUUCAUGAGGAGUCUCUGGACAGUGAUGAUUGGAGAAGUCGUUGGAUGAAUAGAAACGAUGGAGAGUGGAAAUUUACGACUGGGGACUUGAAUGGAGAUGCAGGGCUGCAGAUGAGUUCCUAUGCUCAGUCUUACUGCAAGGAGCCUUUAAGCAAUGAGGAGAACCCUGUGCUCCUUCAUUUCUGCUCCUGCUCGUUUUCAGUCAAUUACUUGCAGAAGGUUGACUGUGGUGGUGGCGGCUACGUGAUGGGUUUCACUUCUCACUGGGAUAAGGCUGGCAUGCAUAGAGGAUCUUACUACAUUAUG